GCGGCCGGCGCCGCCGCCGCCAUCGCCGUCUCCUGGCAACGCCGCGGGCCGCGCCGGGCGGCCGGGAGGAGGCGCCGUGCCUAAGGGCCAUCAUUAGCCGGGUUCUCAUUAACCAUCUCAGCGAGGGGACUUGCUGAUGUGCUUUGGCUUGCUGCCUGAAAGGAUCCUGUCCAUCAGCUCACUGUUUUGUGCAGGCAAAGCCUAAGAAUUUGCUUUAUUACGCUCUUCUUGCAUCCGACAGUAAAACUGUGGGAAACUUUAGGACCUGAUCAGGAAGGUGGGAGCCCCCACGGGCAUGCCUGUUUUCCGGAGCAUUAUAAGGGUGUGGAGCAUCAUGUCUGACUAACCCUACCGGAAGAUCAUGAGUCAGAUCCAGUUCGUGAUGCGCCAAUGUCCUUUCACUUCCAAACAGCAGCCCUGGACUGGGUGCUCGGUCCCAACAAUGCGCAUCUCUUCCCCCUAAAAUUGGUGACGUAGCCAGUGCCGCAGCAACAUGGCUUUUCUGGGGAUGAGAGGCGCAAGCCAACCUACUUAUAUAACUGGAGGAAAAAAAUAAUACAAUGGCAAUGCCAGUCCUAUUUCUGGCCCGUUGACAGAGUUGAUUUAUUAUGUCACGCUCCUGAUCUCACCGGGCUUUGCAGAAGAAUCUGACAAGGAUGCUGCAAAUCCACAUAAUGGCCAGAAUAUGUCAAAACUCAUCUUCAGGACACAUCUGAGUCAUAAUCGCAUCUGAUCCAUAGGCGAAGGAACACACUUUCUGGCCUCAUUAGUGCUGUAGGAGGCACAGCGCUUACUUGAGGUUCUUCAUCACUUAUAGGAACUCAGUGCCAAAGCGAAAUAAAGAGAUUU
Long non-coding RNA from Rhea pennata, 849 nucleotides. RefSeq lists it as uncharacterized. The record is from RefSeq and is a predicted model, not a curated record. Lineage: Eukaryota; Metazoa; Chordata; Aves; Rheiformes; Rheidae. The transcript has 3 exons.